AUGCACGACCACCUGGCCGCCCUCCUCCGCGGCGGCCGUCACCCGCGCGCAGUCCACGGCGCCGCCGCGAAGCUCGGCUGCCUCGCCUCCAUCUACCUCUGCAACAACCUUCUCCUCUCCUACAUCGGCGGCAGCCUCCACGCGGAAGCGCGCCGCCUGUUCGACGAAAUGCCCCAGCGCAACGUCGUCUCCUGGUCAGUCCUCGUCUCCGGCGCCUCUCGCCUCGGCGACCUCCGGGAGGCUUUUUUUCUCUUCUCCGACAUGCUUCGUAGUGGGGAGCGCGGAAGCUGCGACCGCCCCAACUCGUUCGUGCUCGGCGCUCUGGUCGCCGGGUGCACCCGUGCCAAAGACACUGCCGCGGGCUCGCAAGCGCAUGCUUCCGCUCUCAAGUUUGGUGUGGCCGAGGACGAGAGUGUUGCGGGGGCACUGGUGGAUAUGUACUCCAAGUGCGGGCGCGUGGACUUGUCGUGGCGGGCGUUUGCGCUCUCGCCGCAGAGGUGCGUCGCCAGCUGGACGAGCAUAAUCAGCUGCCUUGUCAACCAGGGAUGUUCAGAGCACCGUGAUGCAGCAAUUGCCUUGCUAAAGAAGAUGCUGCUCUUGAAGGUUUGGCCAACAAAUGCAACGUUUUCCUGCAUCCUGAAGGUAUUUGAUGCACCUGAGUUGCUUCCUGGUGGGAAGCAAAUCCAUGGCUGCUUAUUGAAGAUGGGGACUGAGGUUGAUCCUGCUUUAGGAACCGCCCUUAUAGCGAUGUAUGGUAGAUGCGGGGGAGUGAAUGAGAUGGCUAGGUUGUCUUGCCGGAUAAGGCAUGAUGCCUUCUCCAUGACUUCACUUCUUGUAGCUUUUGCGCGGAAUGGAUGCAACAUGGAGGCAGUUUGGAACUUUCGUGAGAUGGUCAUGGAAAAUAUGGCAAUUGAUCAGUCAGCUGUAACUAGCCUACUGCAGGUUUGUUCAUCAUUAGGACGGCUGAGACUGGCCAAGGAGGUCCACUGCUAUGCUCUGAAGACUUUCUUUAAGCUGGAUACAUUACUGCUCAAUGCAACUAUCACUGUUUAUGGCAGAUGCGGGGAUGUCACAGGUGCAGAGAUUAUAUUUAAUCGCCUGGAAAACAAAGACAUUAUAUCAUGGACGGCAUUAUUAACUUGCUAUGCUCAAAAUGAUCUUGCUCUGGAGACACUCUUGCUCUUCAGGGAAAUGCUUCGGAAAGGCUUAGGAUCUCCCGUCUUUUGCAUCACCAGUGUGCUAAGGGCCUGUUCUAGCACCACAAAUUAUGCUGUUGGGUGGCAAAUUCAUUCGAGGGUGGUGAAGUUAGGAAUUGAUGAUGCCAAUUCAGUUGAGAAUGCCCUUUUGACUAUGUACGCCAAGUGCGGAAGUGUUCGUAUUGCACUGAAGAUUUUCAAUUCAAUGAGGAGUAGAGGCAUUAUCUCGUGGAAUGCACUAAUAACAAGUUUUUCACAGCAUGGAAAUGAGGUGGCAGCCAUUCAGCUAUUUGACCUGAUGCAAGAAGAAGCAGUUUGUCCAGAUGAUUACACUUUUGUCGGGUUGUUAUCAUCUUGCAGCCGAAUGGGCCUAGUUGCUGAGGGUUGUGAGUAUUUCAAACUGAUGAACACCAAGUACAAUGUGAAGCCUAAGAUGGAGCACUACACAUGCAUGGUUGAUCUUUUUGCCCGCGCUGGAAGAUUUUCUGAUGCACUCGAGUUUAUUGAUGCUAUGCCUUGUUAUCCGGACAAACUCGUGUGGGAAGCUUUGCUAGCUUCAUGUAGGACUCAUGGUAAUGUGGAGUUGGGAAGGCUGGCAGCAAAGAAGAUUCUUGAAAUAAGACCUGAUGAUCCUUCACCAUACAUUACAUUAUCCAGCAUUCAUGCUUCAAUUGACAUGUGGGAAGAGAAGGCUUGGAAUCGUACUGUGUUUGACGUCCAGCGAGUAAGAAAAGAUGUGGGAAGUAGUUGGGUUGCUGGAGAAGAAUUUUCAGAUAAUACAUGUGAUGUAUUGCAAGAUGGAAUAACGUAA
This 2007-nucleotide ribosomal RNA is filed under the name Triticum aestivum (bread wheat). RNAcentral describes it as "partial small subunit ribosomal RNA". Lineage: Eukaryota; Viridiplantae; Streptophyta; Magnoliopsida; Poales; Poaceae. The record is from RNAcentral.